This 693-nucleotide long non-coding RNA is filed under the name Equus asinus (donkey). RNAcentral's name for it is "lncRNA (ENSEASG00005030848.1)". Lineage: Eukaryota; Metazoa; Chordata; Mammalia; Perissodactyla; Equidae. The record is from RNAcentral.
AAUCUUUAAAGUACUGAAAGAAAGAAAAAGGUCAACAUAUAAUUCUAUGUCCAGAAAACAUACAUAUAUUUCAUAAAUGAAAGCAGAAAUAUAUUCAGAUAUACAAAGGUUGAAAGAAUUCAUCACUAGCAGACCCGCACUGCAAGCAUCUUUAAAAGAAGUCCUUCAGGCAGAAGAAAAAUGAUACCAGAUGGAAAUACGAAUCUUCACAGAAGAAUGGAAAUCACUGGAAAUGGACAGACCUUCUACAGAAAGUGCUUUCACAAGAACUGACAAACGAUGUCUAAACGGAAAGUUCACAGCUACAACAUCUGUCUUUGUUUGUAUUUCUUUGAGCUAAGCAAGAGGAUUCAGCCACCCAGAGGGUUGUUUGCCUAGUCAGCAGGACAGCCGGAGCAAAGGCAGAGAGAGGAACACAAGGUGUGAGGGAAGAAAGGAGACGCGUGCAAAGAUUGUCAAUCACCAGGAAAGCAAAACUGGAGAACGAGAACCUAGAGAGAAGAGAUGACUGAAGCAACAUGACAACAUGAACAAAUGUGACACGGAACAUUCGUUGGCAACUUAGUGAAAUAUCUUUCAGAAUUCAAGGAGAAAUAAAGACUUUCAGGCAGACAAAAACUGAGAGAAUUAAUUGCCAGUAGAUUUGCACUGAAAGAAACGUUAAGAUCUUCAGGCAGAUGUAUUAUAGUACUU